AAAGUCACUUUCCCUUCGGGGCAUUGGAGACAGGUGGUGCAUGGUUGUCGUCAGCUCGUGUCGUGAGAUGUUGGGUUAAGUCCCGCAACGAGCGCAACCCCUAUUUCCAGUAGCCAGCAAGAAAGAUGGGAACUCUGGAGAGACUGCCCGGGAUAACUGGGAGGAAGGCGGGGAUGACGUCAAAUCAUCAUGCCCCUUAUGAUCAGGGCUACACACGUGCUACAAUGGCAUAAACAAAGGGAAGCGAAGUGGUGACACGAAGCAAAUCCGAAAAACAACGUCUCAGUUCGGAUUGUAGUCUGCAACUCGACUACAUGAAGCUGGAAUCGCUAGUAAUCGCGAAUCAGAAUGUCGCGGUGAAUACGUUCCCGGGUCUUGUACACACCGCCCGUCACACCAUGGGAGUCGGAAAUGCCCGAAGUCAGUGACCCAACCGAGAGGAGGGAGCUGCCGAAGGUGGAGCCGGUAACUGGGGUGAAGUCGUAACAAGGUAGCCGUAUCGGAAGGUGCG
RNAcentral lists this ribosomal RNA (511 nucleotides) under uncultured bacterium. RNAcentral's name for it is "bacterial SSU rRNA". It matches the Rfam family "Bacterial small subunit ribosomal RNA", at positions 1005 to 1516 of the family's 1533-position model. The record is from RNAcentral.